This is a long non-coding RNA of Octopus bimaculoides (California two-spot octopus), 252 nucleotides long. RefSeq lists it as uncharacterized. NCBI's taxonomy places the organism in Eukaryota, Metazoa, Mollusca, Cephalopoda, Octopoda, Octopodidae. The record is from RefSeq and is a predicted model, not a curated record.
UCACUGGAUGGAGUACAUUUUUGUUGAUCUUACCUCGCAGUCUGUCAGAUACCGGUCAUGAUGAAUACCACAAGGUUUCAAAUAAUUCGUGGAAGCACUAGAAUGGCAGGUUAUGAGAAAAUUCUUCAACUGAUCGCUGUCUCUAUCAGAAAGUGGCUUGCAAGAUUCCGUCUACCAAUUCCAAUCACAAGGCUUUGGUCGUCCCGAUGCUUUAGUAGAAGACACUUGCCCAUGGAGCCACGCAGGAGAACU